CAAUAGCGUAUAUUAUUGAUGUUGCAGUUAAAACGUUCGUAGUCGAACUUAAUCUGCUACGAUAUCAUGGCAUUGAUGAUGACAUGGUAUUUUCGGCAGAGAUAGUACAAGUGUAAUCAUGUGUUUCACAUGUUUUACCUUGUAUUUUACUUUGAGUGAAUCGGCGUGUUCCACGCAGGCAUGUGCCUUAAACGAUUUACCAUAGUAUAAUUAGAGUAUGAAAUUGCUUCUUUGUUUGUUCAGAAGCUUUUUCGAUACUUACGGGAACGGUUGAGGGCAUUCGUAUUCGACUGCUAGAGGUGAAAUUCUUUGAUUAGUCGAGGACGAACUAUUGCGAAAGCAUCUGCCAAGGACGUUUCCUUUGA
Molecule: ribosomal RNA, 365 nt
Filed under: uncultured eukaryote
Lineage: Eukaryota
Description: partial 18S ribosomal RNA
Rfam family: Eukaryotic small subunit ribosomal RNA
Source: RNAcentral